Molecule: non-coding RNA, 27 nt
Filed under: Mus musculus (house mouse)
Lineage: Eukaryota; Metazoa; Chordata; Mammalia; Rodentia; Muridae
Source: RNAcentral
UACAUACUGCAAGAGAGAAAUCUGAGG